Molecule: long non-coding RNA, 282 nt
Filed under: Setaria viridis
Lineage: Eukaryota; Viridiplantae; Streptophyta; Magnoliopsida; Poales; Poaceae
Description: long non-coding RNA (SVIR_LNC001791)
Source: RNAcentral
GGGUGGAUUUUUUCGCAACGAACGCAUGCAAUCUUCCUAACUAUACACUAAAACAUGUUUGGGACUGUUUUUGAGCAUUCGGUUCCGGCACGAAAAACGAUGCAAAACGGGUGCAUUUCGGCACGCGAAUGCACUAUUUCCGGGUAGCGAAACUCGGGUGGAUUUUUUCGCAACGAACGCAUGCAAUCUUCCUAACUAUACACUAGAACAUGUUUGGGAGUGUUUUUGAGCAUUCGGUUCCGGCACGAAAAACGAUGCAAAACGGGUGCAUUUCGGCACCCG